UUGUAAUCCAUGGGAUCUCAUGGUUAGUGUUUUAGCUUAACACAAAAACUUGAGUAAUUUUAUGUUUCGAUUAAAGUUAAUAUCACAAGGGUAGAAUUUUCUCAUAUUUCUAGCAUAUAUCUACUAAUAUACUUUUUUUAACCCCUUCAUCUCAUCUAUUUAGUUUACACAUUGUCACACCUUAUCCUUACAUAAGGCAUGACAUGAUCCCGUAAUAUAUCCUAUGAAUUACCGAAUAUCGUCUAUCGAUAAUCCACUAAAUAUAUUACAAGGGAUUUUAAACAAUUUUAAUUUCCUUCAAGUUGAAAAAAGAAGAUAAUUAUCAUUAAAGAACUUUUAUUGGGGUUUAUAUCAUGGUAAUAAAUUUUGAUCUUUUCGGAAUUUCUAAAAUUUUUACAGAAAUUUUGACAAAGUUCCGUUUGUAAUUGGAAAAAACAGUUCUUCAAAACCUGUUAAAACACUCCUAAUAUUCAUUUAAACCACAACUCCAUUUAGACUCAUCACAAUUCAUUCUCAAUCAAUACAAUUUCAAGCAAUUCAUUAUAAAAAAAAAAUUAAAAGAAAUUCAAGGAUUUCAUUAAUAAGAAAUAACUAGCUUACAUUACAAAUAUUUACAUUGACCAAAAUAAAAUCCUAAAAGUUUUAUAUAACUGCUCAAGUCAAAUAUGUAUAUACACACGGAUACAUAUACAUUAAAAGAAAUAUUUACAAGGGUAUAAUCUAUAUACCCGGUAAUGACUUCAAAAUAAUAAUUACUUCACAUCACCAGCAGCCUACUCUGCUGCUUUAUCUGUCUCUAAGCUAUCGCUGAGUCAAAGACUCAGUGGUGUACAACUUAAAGAAAAAAAUAAUUUACACACUAACAUAAUCACAAAUUUUCAAAUUAAAUCAAUUGAAUUAUUAACACAUAGAAAAUCAUGCUUUAUUUCUAAAGCCAGAAAUUUUUUUUAAAUAAAUCAAAUUUUAUUCCACAAAUCAUAAAACAAAAUUUUGAAAAGUCACACAACUUGAUCAUGACACAAAUAUCCAAUUUGUCCUAAUAACUAAAGGCUAAUGUGGAAUACAAAGGCUAGCUAGCACAAAUAUAUGAGUACUCAUUCAAUUCGUUCUCAACUGGCACACACCUCAACACUUCAACUAGAGAGGGAAUAAAAAUCCAAUUCGUUCCACUAGGCAAGCUAGUAAGGAAUUCAAACAUAUAGUCAUGACACUGUGGUUUCAAACCAUUUCAAUAAUUUUCCCAAGUAUCAAAAUAUUCAUCGAUUCACAUUCUUAUUUCAUUUCAAAUAAUUUCCUAAACUUGGGCUAACAACACAUAAUUUUUAUCAAUCAAAGUAUUCAAUAUAAAUAAGGCCAUAAAUUAAUUUCACAACACAUUCCAUUCAAAAUUCAACUUGAAAAUCAAAAAGGGGUAGUUGUUGUGCACAAACCUCUUAACUAGUUUUGACUUGGUCCAAUUCUUCGUCCUUCCUUUGAGGGCUCCUUUCCCACUGAAACACAUAAUUAGAGUGUUUCAAUAUCUAUUUAACUUAUUUCUAACAAUAGUUUUAACACUUGAAUUUUGCAUUUAAAAUUUACUUAUAUAGUCCCAUAAGUUGAGUUCUUUUGUUCUUGGUUAUGAUGGUUACUAUUUAUUUGACUAAUUAGGUAAAAUGUUGGCUUUUUCACACAUAAUAGGUAUACUAGUUCUAAUUCAGUGUUAUCAAGGCAAAAGGCGAC
Molecule: unclassified non-coding RNA, 1719 nt
Filed under: Hevea brasiliensis (rubber tree)
Lineage: Eukaryota; Viridiplantae; Streptophyta; Magnoliopsida; Malpighiales; Euphorbiaceae
Source: RNAcentral